Molecule: long non-coding RNA, 927 nt
Organism: Rhineura floridana
Lineage: Eukaryota; Metazoa; Chordata; Lepidosauria; Squamata; Rhineuridae
Exons: 5
Source: RefSeq, a predicted model, not a curated record
GCGCCUACACACUCUGGGAAGAGGUAGGGUUUGUAGCCUUCAUCUCUGGAAACCUGCUGGAACACAGCAGCCACAAAUGUCAUCAGUGCAGAAUGAAAACAGCUGGCCUCGUGCAGGGAGAAGCAGCCUCUGAAAUAUGUGAGAAAAAACUGGAUCAUCAACCAACAUCAUCAGCAUUUCACUACUCAAACUAAGGAGCAAGCAGAGGCAGCAGUGAGGACUUUCUUGGUUUGUUUCAACUGGAAGAGCUAUUAAAAUGUUUCGAUAACAGGACACUAGUCCAGGUCACAGGCGUAUGUAAGCAACUGAAGUCACAGGAGUUCAGACACACAGAAAAAGGUCUGCACAGACCACAAGCUAGAUGCCCAGUAAAAGGUAUAAAGUGCUGUUGGCUCAGGUGAUGAUGGGAGAAAUCAAUGGGUUGGAUCCACUGCACAUGCUGAAUGACUGACUUCUACUGUUUACAGGAUGGCUUCAAAAGCAGAGCCCUCAAGUAGGAGUGGGACUGGUGGUGGAAGUCUGGGUCAUCUGUGGAGUUGAAGUUGAGACUGUAUUGGAGCUCAAUGGUUGAGAAACAGACACCAAACAGAGUCUUUCCUGAAGCUCCAUGGGCCAGUCACAAACGGUGGGUUUUCUUCCAUAAUGAUUCUCUAAGCCGUGAGGAACUACAACAAUGUGUCUGCUUUGUGAACUGAGUGCAUGCACUCAAUCACUCAAUGCACAUGCAGAUAGUUCAAAAAUAAAAUCUUCUUGAAGGGAGGGGCAAGAAUGCCAGCUCCCUGCGUACAGUUCUAGAAUGUUCCUGGAAUUGGUUCUGUAUCUGUGAGUGGAACUGCAUGGAGACCAAAAAGAACUACUCAGGGGAACAGAAUUUGCUCCCUGCCUACUUGAUCUCUAUACUUCCAUUUGCUCCUCAUCAUAGCAAUC